AUGCCAUUUCGGAUACAGCCAGAGACUGUUGUGUCGUUAUUUGAGGGAGUUUUUAUAUUGUGGUAUUCGAGAAGGAUGCAUUUCCAGACUACUGCCCCUGCAGGCCUGGAGGAACCAUUGUCAGGCUUAUUCAUAUUUUAUAUUUUAUUUUAUUUUUAUUAUUAUCAUCAAUGUAUAAUUUCUCUUUCACACCAGCAUUAUGUGAUAUACUCUGCUGAUUUUCAUCCUGAAAGAUGUAAAGCACUUUUUUGGCUAGCCAGGCCAUGGGUUAGGCAGGGUUUUUUUUGUGUUUGUUUGCUACAUCUCAGCAUGUCUGCCAGUGAGAUCCUUCCAAGACGACCAUCGUCUCAGACAACACUGCUAGUCCCUCUCAUCUUCCUCUUUUCAGUAAGAGGGUUUAAAUUUGCUGAGCUUUCAAUAAUACAGAUUUGUCAGAAUCCUUGAAGACAGCAUUUCAAAGGCAACGGCCACACACACAUAUGCAGGGAUCUAUCAGGCAUUCCCCGUGUGUAACAGGUCUUCUCUGAAAUCUUCAGGCCUGUAUUUAAGAGGGAUUAAAUCAGUCAGUCAGAUCCAAAUGGCUCCUCUCUGUGUGGAAUGCAACAAAAGAGCACCUCAAAUAGUUAUAGAAAGAACUCAGCUCACAGUCGCAUGCAGGGAUGAGUUCUGCACAAACUGCUGAGCCAGACACCAGCCGGACACACUAAAAGGGCGAUACGCUUUUGAAGGGACAGAGAAAUUGGCUGAGGGACUGCGCCAUGCAACAUGCUGUGGUUAUUUGGCCUCUAAUGAGGAGUGAUGGUUGACACAUCACUUUCUGCUUCCAUCGAGCGUGUACUUUAAAAACACAGCUCUCAAGGUUGGAGACUCAGUGUGGCAGGUUGCAGAUGACCUGUAUGAUGCACAGAGUUUAAUGUCUAAUCUUUUACGUAUCUGUCAGUGGAAUUGCUAGUUAUCAUCAUUGUUCAUCAUGCUACUAUAGCUGUGGGACCUUCAUUAUUAUGGCAUAAAGACAGGUGUAUAUAAGAUCACUAGGCCCAGACAGAAUCUGAAUCUGAUCUGAAUCUGAAGUUUUUAGGCAUUUGGCUUCAUAAUGAAUAUGGAGCAGAGAAGAAAUCUAGUUUAACAUGAAAACUCUCGUUUAAAAUGUAAGUUAUAUAACCUUUGCUUUCAGUAAAGAUUUGAAAGCAAAAAGACGUGUAACAGAACCAGAAUUAUACUGAAAGGCAUUUUUCUUACUAAAAAAAUUCAAUCAGACGUAUUAGAUUGUGUACAACAGGUUUUUCAGCAAAGUUUUGACCAUGUUGAUAAUUUAGAGGCCUUAGAAAUUAAUUUAUAGGGUUAACUUAAUAGAUCUGAAAAAUGACUUUCAUGUCAUUGACCCAUUUUUGUGCAGAUUUUGUGGCAAUGGAUUUAAACAUAUAAUGACUUAAAUAUAGCUGAGAGUUUCAUACUGCACUCUUAUUAGUAGGUCAAAGCAUUGUUGAAUUAAUUUAAAAUAUUUCAUAAUCGCAUACAGUGGGAAGCACCAAAUGUGCAUAAUUUUAUGAUUGAUAGGUUCUCGAAUUCUGUAUGAAUUAAAUCUGUGAGUUCUGUGUGUGCCCAUCGAUCACUGUCCAAUAAUGUUGCAGCAGAAGCUGCUGGAAACAAGUGAUACAGUAUUGCCACAUCUUGCCACAUAUUCCCCUCAAAUCAUGUCCCUCAGAUGUCAGUAAGAUGUCUUGUUUGGUUCACAUCUAGUCAGGCUCAGAAACUUUCUGUCAGCAUGUUGCAAAACAAGGAGAGAGUUUGACCUCAGCCAGCUGUGCCCAAAAAGCUGAUGUGAGCCAUAUGACCAGCAGCAGAGAAACCAUCAGAAUUGAUGUGCUUUCAUAACCGCUUCAUAAUUAACAAACAUAUGGCGCUCCUGUCAAACAUUUAGAAAUAGAGUGUGUUCUGUUUUUUCAUGUUCUAUCAUGCGACUCAGACUCAGAUAUUUUCAGCUAUUCAUUGUCACAGUCUUAUUGUAUGUAUAGACCCUAAGUGUGUUUACUGGGAUUUUAAUUAGGGUAAUAAAUUAGGCUUUUAAUAAUAAAUUGUGACA
Molecule: long non-coding RNA, 2083 nt
Organism: Cyprinus carpio (common carp)
Lineage: Eukaryota; Metazoa; Chordata; Actinopteri; Cypriniformes; Cyprinidae
Source: Ensembl